Molecule: ribosomal RNA, 253 nt
Filed under: uncultured bacterium
Lineage: Bacteria
Description: partial 16S ribosomal RNA
Rfam family: Bacterial small subunit ribosomal RNA
Source: RNAcentral
CACAGAGGUCCCAAGCGUUGUUCGGAUUCACUGGGCGUAAAGGGUGCGUAGGUGGUUAGGUAAGUCCGAUGUGAAAUCUCCAGGCUCAACCUGGAAAUGGCAUUGGAUACUAUCUAGCUUGAGGAGUGGAGGGGGGACUGGAAUUCUCGGUGUAGCAGUGAAAUGCGUAGAUAUCGAGAGGAACACCAGUGGCGAAGGCGAGUCCCUGGACACUUCCUGACACUGAGGCACGAAAGCUAGGGGAGCAAACAGG